UGAGGAAUAUUGGUCAAUGGUCGGAAGACUGAACCAGCCAUGCCGCGUGAAGGUGACGGCCCUAUGUGUCUUAAACUUCUUUUGUAAGGGAGCAAUAAGGUCUACGUGUAGAUUGAUGAGAGUACCUUACGACUAAGCAUCGGCUAACUCCGUGCCAGCAGCCGCGGUAAUACGGGGGAUGCAAGCGUUAUCCGGAUUUAUUGGGUUUAAAGGGUGCGUAGGCGGUCAUGUAAGUCAGCGGUGAAAUUUCCGAGCUCAACUUGGCACGUGCCGUUGAUACUGCUUGACUGGAAUGCGGAUGCCGUGGGAGGAAUGUGUGGUGUAGCGGUGAAAUGCAUAGAUAUCACACAGAACACCGAUUGCGAAGGCAUCUCACGAAUCCGCUAUUGACGCUGAGGCACGAAAGCGUGGGGAUCAAACAGG
Molecule: ribosomal RNA, 423 nt
Filed under: uncultured prokaryote
Also listed under: 1 other name
Description: bacterial SSU rRNA
Rfam family: Bacterial small subunit ribosomal RNA
Source: RNAcentral